GACUGGUCCAAUUUACGACUAAAUGAUCACAACCAGUUACAAAUUUGUUUCUUCUCCACUCUCCCACUGCUUCACUUGGCUAGCCUUAA
RNAcentral lists this small RNA (89 nucleotides) under Otolemur garnettii (small-eared galago). RNAcentral's name for it is "Y RNA (ENSOGAG00000021766.1)". Lineage: Eukaryota; Metazoa; Chordata; Mammalia; Primates; Galagidae. The record is from RNAcentral.